This 392-nucleotide ribosomal RNA is filed under the name uncultured bacterium. RNAcentral describes it as "partial 16S ribosomal RNA". It matches the Rfam family "Bacterial small subunit ribosomal RNA", at positions 523 to 918 of the family's 1533-position model. The record is from RNAcentral.
AUACGGAGGAUCCGAGCGUUAUCCGGAUUUAUUGGGUUUAAAGGGUGCGCAGGCGGCCAUUUAAGUCAGCGGUUAAAUCGUGGGGCUCAACCCCAUUCUGCCGUUGAUACUGGGUGGCUUGAUUGCGGUCGAGGUUGGCGGAAUUCGUUGUGUAGCGGUGAAAUGCAUAGAUAUGACGAAGAACACCGAUUGCGUAGGCAGCUGACCAGACCGCAAAUGACGCUCAUGCACGAAAGUACGGGGAUCGAACAGGAUUAGAUACCCUGGUAGUCCGCACAGUAAACGAUGAAUACUUGUUUUCGGCGAUAUAAUGUCGGAGGCAAAGCGAAAGCGAUAAGUAUUCCACCUGGGGAGUACGCCGGCAACGGUGAAACUCAAAGGAAUUGACGGGG